Molecule: ribosomal RNA, 909 nt
Filed under: Leiobunum crassipalpe
Lineage: Eukaryota; Metazoa; Arthropoda; Arachnida; Opiliones; Sclerosomatidae
Description: 16S ribosomal RNA
Rfam family: Bacterial large subunit ribosomal RNA (bases 490-827)
Source: RNAcentral
CGUUAGUAGUAGCAGAAAGGUUAUUAGGGAUAAGCUUAAUAUCUGAUUGUUAUAUAGGUUAGAAGAUUAGGUUAGAGAAGGAUUAAUAGUGUCUUUAGGUUUUGUAACCGAUUAGUAGCUAUCUUUAUUAAUGGAGUAUAUGAGGGUGUCUUGAAAUCUUUUUUGUUAGUAAUAAUGGUAGAAUUAGUAGAUUAGUUUAUAGUUUUUAAUUUAGGUGUUUAAAUUGAAGUAGACGAGUGUUUAGUUUUUGGUAAGGAACUCGGCAAAAAUUUCUCUUAACUGUUUAUCAAAAACAUUUCUUUAAGGAAGGAUUUAAAGUAUAUUCUGCCCCCUGAUUAACCUAUUAAAGGGCCGCAGUAGCCUGACUGUGCUAAGGUAGCAUAAUCAUUAGGUUCUUAAUUGGGAUCUGGAAUGAAUGAAUGAAUAAGGGGGAGCUGUCUAUCAAUAGAGUUUGAAAUUAAAUUUUUAGUAAGAAUGCUAGAAUNCUUUCAGUGGGACGAUAAGACCCUAUAAAGCUUUACUAAUCUUUAGUAAAAAUUUUUACUACUUUUAUGAAGAGNUUUAGUUUUACUGGGGCGGUAGCUAAUCAACUUAGCUAAUUUUCUUUUAUUGUGGAUCCUAUCUUUGGUGAAGUAAGAUUAAGUUACUUUAGGGAUAACAGCAUAAUAUACUUAUGGAGUUCUAAUCGAAGAGUAUGAUUGUGACCUCGAUGUUGAAUUAACCUAAUUGUAAGGUGAAGAAGCUUUACGAGUUAGUCUGUUCGACUAUUGAAGGGUUACGGGAUUUGUGUUCAAACCGGUCUAAGCCAGGUGGGUUCAUAUCUACUGAGUUUNAAAAGUUCUUUUGUUCGGAAGGACCAGAGACGUUAGGGGUUCUAUUUAAGGUAAUAUUUAACUAAUUUUAGGUAUU